This is a non-coding RNA of Mycena floridula, 83 nucleotides long. The record is from the annotation of a GenBank genome assembly. NCBI's taxonomy places the organism in Eukaryota, Fungi, Basidiomycota, Agaricomycetes, Agaricales, Mycenaceae.
GCGAUGAUGAUGUAGAGGUAGCACGUUGGACCGUCCAACUAUCGUCCAACGUCGUGGCCCUGGUUCAAUUCCAAGUUGUCGCC